CUGUAAUAGGUCGCUGAAUACAG
RNAcentral lists this non-coding RNA (23 nucleotides) under Arabidopsis thaliana (thale cress). Lineage: Eukaryota; Viridiplantae; Streptophyta; Magnoliopsida; Brassicales; Brassicaceae. The record is from RNAcentral.